Molecule: long non-coding RNA, 214 nt
Filed under: Trifolium pratense (red clover)
Lineage: Eukaryota; Viridiplantae; Streptophyta; Magnoliopsida; Fabales; Fabaceae
Description: long non-coding RNA (TPRA_LNC005051)
Source: RNAcentral
AAAUCUCAACCAAAAAUUACGAGUGGGUAUACCAUUUUACUCGAAAUUUAACGCUGAUCAUGAAUCCAUGCUUAGAUUUCACAGUGGAGGUAUAGAUUUUAAAAAACGAUUUAAUCUUUAAAACCUAAAAAAAUUGAAAACACUUAUUUGAGCGAAAUAAGCAAAAUAAACGGUUGGAAAAGCUUGAGGACAUGAUUUGGAACAUGAAUCAAUU